This 1587-nucleotide ribosomal RNA is filed under the name Triticum aestivum (bread wheat). Its description in RNAcentral is "partial small subunit ribosomal RNA". Lineage: Eukaryota; Viridiplantae; Streptophyta; Magnoliopsida; Poales; Poaceae. The record is from RNAcentral.
UUGAAACCGGUUAACUCUAAAAAUCCCAUUGAUGUUCUAAACAUUAAGUUGAAGAGAUUCAAAAAAUUCUUUAAAGGAUGGGGUGCUAAUCUUUUUGGCAAAUCAAGAAAGAGGAGAAGGGACCUCAGGGAGGAGUUAGAGCAUCUAGAAAAAUUAGAAGAAACAGAUGUGUUGUCUCCUGAGUUAUAUGAGAGGAAAGUUGAGAUAUCGGCAGAAUUAUAUGAUCUGUUAGUGGAGGAGGAGGUGGCUUGGACGCAAAAAUCACACGAAAAUUGGCUCUUGAAAGGGGAUAGGAACACUGACUACUUCCACAGAAUUGUGAAUGGGAGGAGGCGGAGAAAUACUAUUUUUUCUCUUAGUUGUGGGGAUGUGAUUAUUGAAGGAAAUAAUAAUCUCUUGGAACAUGCCACUAAUUUCUAUAAGGAACUUUUUGGUCCAGCAGUUGGAAACUUAUGUAAAAUGAAGGAAGAUAUGUGGGAAUCACGUGAGAAAUUGUCAGACAUUGACAACUUUAUCCUUACUAGACCCUUUUCUGAAACAGAAGUCAAGAAUGCACUAUUCUCUAUGAAACCAAAUAAAGCUCCUGGUCCAGAUAAUAUUCCUAUUGAGUUCUUCCAACAUUGUUGGGAGAUUGUGAAAAAUGAAGUGAUGAUGCUUUUUGACUGGUUCCAUGAGAACAAACUGGAUGUGCAGCGUCUCAAUUAUGGGAUUAUAACUCUACUGCCUAAGGUUGUGGGGGCAAAUAAGAUUCAACAAUUCAGACCUAUUUGCUUGCUUAGAUGUAUAUACAAGCUGAUAACCAAAGUUCUGACUAUUAGGUUGGAACCUUUUGUGGAUAUUCUCUUCAGUAGACAUCAAAAUGCGUUCAUCAAGAAGCGUGACAUCAUGGAUGGGAUCAUGUCCCUGCAUGAAAUCUUGCACCACACUUACAAUAGGAAGGAAAUUGGUAUUGUGUUGAAACUUGACUUCGAAAAGGCUUACGAUAAAGUCAACUGGGACUUCCUUUUGGAUUGCCACAGAAUGAGAGAAUUCCAUCCAAAAUGGGUCGAGUGGGUCAGUAAAAUUUUAGUGGGGGGUACAGUUAGUGUGAAGUUGAAUGAUGAGGUGGGCCCAUACUUUCAAAGCUCGAAAGGGGUGCGCCAAGGGGACCCUUUCUCACCUUUUCUUUUCAAUUUAGCUGCUGAUUGUUUGACAAAAAUGAUACUUAAAGCCCAACAAAACGGCUUGUUCAAGGGUCUAGCCUCGGACUUGAUCCCAAAUGGAGUAGCUAUUCUCCAGUAUGCGGAUGACACAAUUUUGUGUUUCGAGGAUAAUAUCAGGAAUGCUCUAAACAUUAAGUUGCUUUUAUACCUCUUUGAGGUCAUGUCAGGUUUGAAAAUUAACUUCCUGAAGAGCGAGAUCUUCUCUGUUCGAGCGGACGAUGAGACUAUGCAUACGUAUGCUGAGAUGUUUAACUGCCAGAUAGGUAACUUUCCUAUGAAAUACCUAGGCAUGCCGGUCAGUUAUGCCGGUUUGAAGUGUGGGGAUUGGAGUUUUGUGGAGGACAAAUUCACCAUGCAUGGUGAGAACUGGAUUAGUGAAGUUCUG